Molecule: ribosomal RNA, 496 nt
Filed under: uncultured bacterium
Lineage: Bacteria
Description: partial 16S ribosomal RNA
Rfam family: Bacterial small subunit ribosomal RNA
Source: RNAcentral
UUGAACGCUGGCGGCAGGCCUAACACAUGCAAGUCGAGCGCGAAAAGUUUUCGGACUGAGUAAAGCGGCGGACGGGUGAGUAACGCGUGGGAAUCUGCCCAGUAGGGGGGGACAACAGCCGGAAACGGCUGCUAAUACCGCAUACGCCCUACGGGGGAAAGGGGGGGAUCUUCGGACCUCUCGCUAUUGGAUGAGCCCGCGUCGGAUUAGCUAGUUGGUGGGGUAAAGGCCUACCAAGGCUACGAUCCGUAACUGGUCUGAGAGGAUGAUCAGUCACACUGGAACUGAGACACGGUCCAGACUCCUACGGGAGGCAGCAGUGGGGAAUAUUGGACAAUGGGGGCAACCCUGAUCCAGCCAUGCCGCGUGUGUGAAGAAGGCCUUAGGGUUGUAAAGCACUUUCAGUGGGGAGAAAGGUUUGUCACCUAAUACGUGAUGAAAUUGAUGUUACCCACAGAAGAAGCACCGGCUAACUCCGUGCCAGCCGCCGCCGUAA